RNAcentral lists this small nucleolar RNA (229 nucleotides) under Castor canadensis (American beaver). Its description in RNAcentral is "Small nucleolar RNA U3 (ENSCCNG00000001660.1)". It matches the Rfam family "Small nucleolar RNA U3". Rfam says of the family: Small nucleolar RNAs (snoRNAs) are involved in the processing and modification of rRNA in the nucleolus. There are two main classes of snoRNAs: the box C/D class, and the box H/ACA class. The record is from Rfam by way of RNAcentral. Lineage: Eukaryota; Metazoa; Chordata; Mammalia; Rodentia; Castoridae.
AUGCUGGAACUUAUGGCAGUGUCAGAAUUCAGUGCUAUAGGUCUCUAGCAAUAACCAUUGUUUCUCACUUGAUAUAAAACAACCUAUUACAUAAAGAGGAGAGGCAAUGUUCUCUCCUGAGUGUGAAGCCAGCUCUGGGUGUUGCUUUAAUGUAACUGCCAUUUGCCAUUGAUGAUUGUCCUUACUCCUCUUCAGGGAAGUAAGAGGGAGAGGAUGCAGUGUGAGUGGU